CUUGCUUGAUCUUUCUGACCUCAGUUUGCUGAUCUGCAAAAUGAGACUAGUAAGAGCACCUGCAUCUCGGCUUGUUGUGAAGAUCAAACGCAACGGCGUGACUUGCAUAAAGCACCGGCUCCCGGGGCGGCCCAUGCUCCUUGCUCGGUGACCUGGCAGAGCAUAGCCAAGGUGAUCUGUGGCUCAUCAGGGACGUGCCCCGCAGGCAGCCGUGAGCCUGGAGCCCAGAAGGAAGGUGUAAGUCAGCAACAGAAGAAGACUGCCAGCAAGAGCCUCAUUCUCCUGUCUGUGCGCGGGGACCGACACCUCCCUCCCAGGAGAGGGUGUGGUGGGUUGUGCGAGCCAGCAUCCAGGGAAGCACUGGCUAAGACUGAGCAUCACUGUGUGUCAUUUAAUAGGGAAUGCAAAUGGCUGGAGACUGGACAAACCUUUGACACGUGCCGACUUGGGCCAGGCCUUUCGGACAGUAACAGGACACUGAGAUCUGCUGUCCUCUCACUGUCCUUCAGUCGUCAAGGAGAUUCCUAAGCAAGACUCCUCUGUGGGUUGGGCCCCACCCAUCAGUGCAGCAUCGUUUCCCUCCCUAGCUGGGCAGACGAGCCCAGGGUGCCUGCCUGCUGGCUGCGGAGGGCCAAGAAUCUGGGGGUUGCUGGAGGGGCUCCUGGUUCUCUCUGGAACAGCUUGCCUGCCCCCUAGUGGACUUCUGAAGAGUCUCGGGGACUCAUGGAAACCCCUUGGACAGGGAGCUUGGAGAUUCCGUGUCCCGACUGGAGCCCUGAGCAGGAGUGGCUUGUGCACGCAAGUCUGGGGCAGAGUGGUGACAAAAGGCAGCAUAGGCGGCCCUCGGGAAAGAACCUGGGCUUCUGCAUCCCACAGCCCCAGGUGAACCCAGCAGCAAUGGGGAUGAUGAAACCCACUUCCUAGGGCUGCAAGGACGGUUCCCUGAGACAAUGCAUGCACAACAUGCUCAGUACAUGUGUGUCCCUUCCCCCUACUCUACGUCGCUUCACCUCCUCUGUGAGUCCAGACAGCUCUAACAGUCUUUGAGCUGACCUGGAUCUUCAUGCGCUUGGAUUUCCUUGAAGCGAGGUUCACCUGCCACCACAGUGGCCUCCUCCCCCUCCCCUGCCCUGUUACAUUGCUUCUCCCACCAGGGUCGCAGAAAGAGGGCAGACCCAGUCCUGCCCUCAGGAUGCCCCCAG
Molecule: long non-coding RNA, 1202 nt
Filed under: Equus asinus (donkey)
Lineage: Eukaryota; Metazoa; Chordata; Mammalia; Perissodactyla; Equidae
Description: lncRNA (ENSEASG00005027988.1)
Source: RNAcentral